This is a non-coding RNA of Gastrolobium bilobum, 72 nucleotides long. NCBI's taxonomy places the organism in Eukaryota, Viridiplantae, Streptophyta, Magnoliopsida, Fabales, Fabaceae. The record is from the annotation of a RefSeq genome assembly.
GGGCCUAUAGCCCAAUGGUAGGGCAGUUGACUGCAAAUCAAAAGGUCAUCGGUUCGAAUCCGAUUAGGCCCU